Long non-coding RNA from Leopardus geoffroyi (Geoffroy's cat), 2021 nucleotides. RefSeq lists it as uncharacterized. NCBI's taxonomy places the organism in Eukaryota, Metazoa, Chordata, Mammalia, Carnivora, Felidae. The record is from RefSeq and is a predicted model, not a curated record. The transcript has 2 exons.
GGUUAGCUGUUCCAGGGAGGAAGGUAGGGAGGAAGGCGUCAUUCAGCAAAGAGCGCCCGCAGGCACAGUUCCAGACUCCAGAUGCAAGGAUGAGCCGGGCCCAGUCUUCCCUUCCCUGUCUUUCCCAACUGUCCCCUCCCUGGCCCUCCCCAGCUCUCCAACUGUCCCCGACUUUGGCACAGCUCACGUGCACCGGUGACAGGUGAGCUGAAUGGCAUGGCUCCAGGCACGGACUCACCAAGCGAUUUUGUCGUCCACUGUUCAAGAGGUGAUCAGUGGGAGAACUUCCCCUGCCCCUGGAUGGAAACUCACCUGCAGGCAUCCACCGCUUUCCUGGGCACCGGAGUAGAGAAACCGUGCAGUCAUUUUACGUUGCCACACGUGGUCCCCGUUCAGGAAUUGGAAUGCCGUGUGUCGUAGAAGAGUCAAAGCUUCGAGUGACCACUAACGGCACCGAGUGCCCCCCCCCACCCCCCUGCCGCUGCUCCCAGAGCUGGAUCAGGGGGAAGGAGGCCAGCGUGAGGGCGGGGGAGCAGACCUCCUACUCUUGAUGGUCGCUGUCCUAAACCGGCCUCCCUCCUGGGCCUGGCCGGGGCUUAGCUCUUCUCUCAUCCUGGUGGGGGACACUCGCAGGGAUCUGUGGCGACCCCUCUGCCCCUCCUCCUCCCCCCAGCUCAAGGCCUCUGGUGAGCACUUCCGCAUGCGCAUGCUGUGGCCAAUCUUCCCCCCUCCCACCCCUCCACCUUUGCAGCCCCUAGGAAUCCAGUGAUUCCCCCCCCCCCCCGCCUCGGCUUCCUACUUCUGAGCCCUGUUCACCUGCUCAGGACCUCAGGAGGACCCCAGGUGGGCUUGUGGCCUGUGUAGCUCAGGUCUGGCUCAGGGGAGAGGCUUUGCAACUUCUGCCCUGUCAAAGUUGGCAUGUGCCAGCCAGCCCCAGUGCCCCCUCCCCUCUGGCUCUCUCUUCUGGCAGAUCUGACACCAGAGCUCCGAACCCCUGCCUCUAAGGGCCCAUUGCAGGCGCUCCCCGUGUCUCCGAAGAGCCUUAUCACUAGGCUUAAGGUGUCGAGGGAUCUCCCGCCGCCCACCCAACACUCACACGUGAUGCACACACAGCGCUGAAGAGGAGAAGGGCUCAGUACAAUUCUGCAAGGAAACCAUCUCUACAAAUUACCUGUUUAAGUAUCUGGGUUCUUUUAUGCCCUUGCGGUGGGCGAGGAUGAAAGAAGGAACAGGUUUUGGAAUGAGGCCAGGCAUGAAGACACCUGGAGCCGGGAGGCCGGCCACCUGCACGAGUUCCCAUCUUGUGAUGCUGCUUCUCAUUGGAUGCUAACGUCCUCCUUUCUGGCUGGGCCACGUUUACUACAUGUAGCCCAGGCUCAGGCUGGUGCCUACCCAGGUAUCCGGAGUAUCUGAACCAAAGACCAGAUUGGCUGUCGUUCUGUUCCGUGAACGCUGUGGUAGUCUGUCUCUGCUGAAAGCAGGCCAGCAGGAGUGUUUGUAGAUUCCCUGGCUGAGUCAGUUCUAUGCCACUUGGAAGCCCGGCCCACGAGCACCUCCGUCUGCCUGCACUGCCUUUGAUCAGACUCUGCAAAUCCUGAUGUCGCGCUAGGCUAGAACUGGACAAGAUCUCGUUCUAGAGCAGAGACGGCCAACCCGCAGGCAUCCAGUGACUUGCCCGACUCAAAGCUAAUAAGCAGCCGAGAUAGAAUGAGGACUCCCAGUUCCUGGUUUUUCUUUUUCUUUUUGUGCAAAGACCUAUGUGUUGAGCUGGGAAAUUAGCACAGUAUUUAUUGGCUCGUGUGGUCCAGGAAGAAGCCUGGAGCUCAUUGUGGGCAGGAUUAAAGACAUAAGCAAAGCUAACCUUGCCCCCAACUCAAAUGUUGCCUUUAACAGUAUGGAAAAGGAUAGUUUGGGAGAGGGCGUAGUUUUCUCCAUGAUAUUAACCUAAGAGCCCAGUAGAUCACAUUUAUAAUUAUAUCCAAACCGCUUAUCACAAGGGUAAACCUUUUGGAAUUUUGCUA